GCAUUUAUAGCGUUCUAUGCAAAUUAGGUAAAUUUAUAAAAAAAGCAAGCCAUGCCUCACAUGCAUGAGGUCGAGGGUUCGAGCCCCCCUAUCUCCA
Molecule: transfer RNA, 97 nt
Filed under: Caudoviricetes sp.
Lineage: Duplodnaviria; Heunggongvirae; Uroviricota; Caudoviricetes
Description: tRNA-Val
Source: RNAcentral